Molecule: small RNA, 829 nt
Filed under: Pan troglodytes (chimpanzee)
Lineage: Eukaryota; Metazoa; Chordata; Mammalia; Primates; Hominidae
Description: retained intron
Source: RNAcentral
AUAUUGGAAGAGCUUUCACCAUUUACAUUAUAUAGCUUUUUUGCUGCUGCAAGAACUAGAAAAGGACUUGGUCCUUCCAGUAUUCUUUUCUUUUACACAGAUGAGUCAGUGCCGUUAGCACCUCCACAAAAUUUGACUUUAAUCAACUGUACUUCAGACUUUGUAUGGCUGAAAUGGAGCCCAAGUCCUCUUCCAGGCGGUAUUGUUAAAGUAUAUAGUUUUAAAAUUCAUGAACAUGAAACUGACACUAUAUAUUAUAAGAAUAUAUCAGGGUUUAAAACUGAAGCCAAACUUGUUGGACUGGAACCAGUCAGCACCUACUCUAUCCGUGUAUCUGCGUUCACCAAAGUUGGAAAUGGCAAUCAAUUUAGUAAUGUAGUAAAAUUCACAACCCAAGAAUCAGGUUAGAUACAGUUUUUGAGCCUAAAAUGUUUCUUUUUAUAUUUAACACCUUUCUUUUCCUUUUCUUAGUUUAUAUGAUAAAGUAUCAUUACUUAAGAGUCUACUCAAAGGGAAAUUGCAUUUCAGUGCUUUACGUUUAGUCUUGGUCUUGUGUGAAAUCAUAUGCUGUAUGUGUGUUUAUACAUAUAUUUUUACACAUGGUUUUUCCUUUUGAACAGAGGAAGUUGAAAUAAAAUAGUAGUUUGGGAACAAAAUAGCCUUCUAGAUAUCUGUGAAAAUUACCUAAUUCUUAGAACUGUUUGAGACAGCUGUGGAAAAAGGGGGAAAUGAACUAGCAGUCACUUUUAACAGGCUGAUUUAUAUUUUUAAUGAAACAAUAUCUAUAAUUUUCUUUUAAGAAGAUUAGUUGUGACAUUUGGAGAGCAUG